CUGCUCGACGGUAUUCGAAUAUCACAAGGUGUGUAAUCGAGAGCCGCAUUUGAAUGCGUUCGGCGCGUCGGUCGGCUUCGGCUCGCUCGGUUAUUUUACGGACCUGGAUGCCGUUACUGGGCGCUUGCCGAGGCUUUUUGUACCGACGACGAUCUCGAACCGGCUCUGCGCGCGCGAAAGCGUUCGCGCUCUCGCGCGCUCACCUGUCGGCGACGCUUUUGCUUUGGGUACUUUCAGGACCCGUCUUGAAACACGGACCAAGGAGUCUAACAUGUGCGCGAGUCAUUGGGUUUUUUUAUAUUAUAUUUAAAGCCUAAAGGCGCAAUGAAAGUGAAGAUACGGCAGGCAUUCGUGCCUGAGCCGAUCGAGGGAGGAUGGCCCGCGUC
This 386-nucleotide ribosomal RNA is filed under the name Ixodiphagus hookeri. RNAcentral's name for it is "partial large subunit ribosomal RNA". Lineage: Eukaryota; Metazoa; Arthropoda; Insecta; Hymenoptera; Encyrtidae. The record is from RNAcentral.